RNAcentral lists this transfer RNA (67 nucleotides) under Evania appendigaster. RNAcentral's name for it is "tRNA-Gly". Lineage: Eukaryota; Metazoa; Arthropoda; Insecta; Hymenoptera; Evaniidae. The record is from RNAcentral.
UUUUAUAAAGUAUACUAAGUACAUUUAAUUUCCAAUUAAAAAGUUAACUAUAUAUGUUAUAUAAAAA